GACAUAGUAGGUUUCCUUCAGAGGCUUAUGGCAUGAGACCCCCAUGGGCGACACUAAAUUCGAAUGAAUGGAAACAGUGGUUGGCUACAGCUGUGGCAUUAUGACCAGAGCCUGGAUGAUUUCUAUGAUGAUGAUGAAGAAGAGGGGGAUGGGGAAGGGGGGAAAGGAGCCAGGGGUAGGAGUAAGAGUAAGAGCCAGAAUAACCUCUGUGGUCUCUGGAAAUCCCUUCUGUCAGUCCUCUAGAACUCGGUCUAGCCCUAGUCCUAGCCCCCCACCCAGACUUUGGUCCAGCCCCAGCCCCCCCCCCUCAUCAGCUGUCCUCCCAGCCCUCUUGGCCCAUCCCUACUCCAACUGGAGAUGCCCCAGAAGCUGCUGCUCACUGAGGAGGAAGCUGACCCGAUUGGCAGAAGAGCUUGUGGCUGAGGAGGAACGAGCAAAUCGAGGAGCAGAAAAGAAACGGCUAAAGAAGAAGAUUGAGAGGUUGAGAACCGCUGUUCUAUUGGAUGUUUCUAACCAGGUGAUAGAAGAGGCUGCAGUCGCAGCAGGCCCAGCAGCAGAGGCAAGCAACUUUAACUCCAGUCCCCAAAGCCCUAGUCAAGGGAGCAGCAAUGAGGAAGAAGAAUUGGAUUUGUCAAGCACCUUCGUGUCUCAAGCCCCUCACAAGGUUGGUGACUGGCCUCCCAAUACCCAGAAAGAGAAAGUGUUGAUCCCUGAGCCUCCAGCCUUGAACUCGCAGAGCCAGAGCCCACAGGAAGGGAGCAGGAGCCAGAGUCCUCAGCUAGAGAUUUGGCCCCCGACCAUUUAUCCUUCCGGUCCCAGUUCCUGUUCGAUUACCUUCAGUUCAGCACCUUCAAUUGCCAAAAACCUGGUGAGACAACUCCUCUAA
This 886-nucleotide long non-coding RNA is filed under the name Monodelphis domestica (gray short-tailed opossum). Its description in RNAcentral is "lncRNA (ENSMODG00000043789.1)". Lineage: Eukaryota; Metazoa; Chordata; Mammalia; Didelphimorphia; Didelphidae. The record is from RNAcentral.